RNAcentral lists this signal recognition particle RNA (267 nucleotides) under Candidatus Electryonea clarkiae. RNAcentral's name for it is "signal recognition particle sRNA large type". It matches the Rfam family "Bacterial large signal recognition particle RNA". From Rfam's summary of the family: The signal recognition particle (SRP) is a universally conserved ribonucleoprotein involved in the co-translational targeting of proteins to membranes. Archaeal SRP consists of a 7S RNA and homologues of the eukaryotic SRP19 and SRP54 proteins. Lineage: Bacteria; Pseudomonadati; Candidatus Electryoneota; Candidatus Electryoneia; Candidatus Electryoneales; Candidatus Electryoneaceae. The record is from RNAcentral.
UGGUGCUUAGGCGGGGAGGUAGCGGUGCCCUGUACCUGCAAUCCGCUAUAGCAGGGCUGACAUCCCUGGUGCGGCUUACCGCACAUCAAAUUACAAUGUAUUGACGGUGUUGACGGUUGGGUCCCGUGCAAGGUCGCAGCGCUGAAUCCCGUCAGGUCCGAGAGGAAGCAGCGGCAAGCGUUUGUAUCCUGUGCCGCGGGGUUGCCUGACUUGAGCCGGCAAUCAUGGUAAUUUUGAUGCAGUAGGAAGUCAAACCGGGGCGCGCCA